CAAGAAUCAAUCCAUACAGGAUUAAGUUAAAAUAAUUGAAUUCAAAAAACAACUAUCCUCAGAAAAUGCAGGAGUUAACUACCACAACUAAUAUGUAGCUCCUAAAUCUGCAAUUCCAAAAUCUGUAGCUCCAAUAUUCUCUCUAACACCCUCCUACAAACGGAUGGGAAUGAGAGUUACCAUUAGUUUGUUACGCAGAAAAUGAAACCUAAGAGCUGUCUAUUCUUUUGUGAAAAUAUCAGCAAUCUGAUCUUGAGUAGAGACAUAUUUGACCUGAAUAUCGUUAUUAACCACUUUCUCUCGAACAAAAUGAUAGUCAAUCUCUGUGUGUUUAGUUCUAGCAUGAAAAACAGGACUAGAUGCUAAUGCUAUAGCACCAAUAUUAUCACACCAUAGCACAGGAGUAGAAGAAAGACAAAUGCCAAGUUCCAUGGACAACAUACGCAGCCAAUAUAAUUCAGCUGUAGCCACGGCCAUAGACCUAUAUUCAGCUUCAGUAGAACUUCUUGAAACCACAUUUUGCUUCUUUGCACUCCAACUUAUCAAGCUAGAGCCAAGGAAGAUACCAUAUCCACUAGUACUACGUCUAUCGUCUGGAUUUCCAGCCCAGUCAGAGUCACAAUAACCUGUAAGGUUGAUUGAAAAAGGGGUAUAAUAAAGAUCGUAGUCAAUAGAACCUUUUAGGUAUCUCAACACUCUCUUGGCUGCUAUGCAAUGAGGCUGAUGAGGAUUAUGCAUGAAUUGAUAGAGUUGGUUCACUGCAUAUAAGAUAUCAGUU
Molecule: long non-coding RNA, 778 nt
Filed under: Olea europaea subsp. europaea
Lineage: Eukaryota; Viridiplantae; Streptophyta; Magnoliopsida; Lamiales; Oleaceae
Source: RNAcentral